AGCAGCCGCGGUAAUUCCAGCUCCAAUAGCGUAUAUUAAAGUUGUUGCAGUUAAAAAGCUCGUAGUUGAAUUUCGAGAUCAAAUUGUUGGUCGUGCCUUGGUACGCACUGGCAUUAUUGGUUUCUCCCUUCUGACGAACCAUGAUGUCAUUAAUUUGGUGUCUUGGGGAAUCAGGACUGUUACUUUGAAAAAAAUUAGAGUGUUUAAAGCAGGCUCACGCUUGAAUACAUUAGCAUGGAAUAAUGAAAUAGGACGUUUGAUUCUAUUUUGUUGGUUUCUAGGAUCGACGUAAUGAUUAAUAGGGAUAGUUGGGGGCAUUAGUAUUCAAUUGUCAGAGGUGAAAUUCUUGGAUUUAUUGAAGACUAACUACUGCGAAAGCAUUUGCCAAGGAUGUUUUCAUUAAUCAAGAACGAAAGUUAGGGGAUCGAAGACGAUCAGAUACCGUCGUAGUCUUAACCAUAAACUAUGCCGACUAGGGAUCGGAUGAUGUUAAUUUUUUUAAUGACUCAUUCGGCGCCUU
Molecule: unclassified non-coding RNA, 520 nt
Filed under: uncultured Glomus
Lineage: Eukaryota; Fungi; Glomeromycota; Glomeromycetes; Glomerales; Glomeraceae
Description: SSU rRNA
Rfam family: Eukaryotic small subunit ribosomal RNA
Source: RNAcentral